Molecule: unclassified non-coding RNA, 276 nt
Filed under: Hevea brasiliensis (rubber tree)
Lineage: Eukaryota; Viridiplantae; Streptophyta; Magnoliopsida; Malpighiales; Euphorbiaceae
Source: RNAcentral
GCGAUUCCUUCAGAAGAUUUUGAACAGUGAGCGUAUGAGCGUAGUUUUUUCAUUCCUUGGAACUGUGUCGAUAGAACAUUCCUUCCCAUCAAACGGUGCCAUAAAAGAGCACCGUAAUAAUCAGGAUUUGGAUGAAAGGUUGUGGUAUUGAGGAGACCGUAGUUGCCACCAACCAAUGUUUGUCGACAAUAUGUCUUAGUAUCGAACGUGGCUGACAUCCCCAUCUGAUCCAAGUACCAAAAGCCGGACACAAAGCUAUUCGAAACAAGAUUGCGA